CCCACCGACGACCAAUCGCAGAUGUUUAAGACGGAGCCUCCACCGUGUUAAGGUGACCUGCAGUGAGACUGUCCUGUUGCCAUUUGUGAGCGAAGCGGAGUUACUGCAAACAUGUCUCUGUCCAACAAGCUGAACCUGGAUAAGGUGGACGUGAAGGGGAAGAGGGUGGUGAUGAGGGUUGACUUUAAUGUGCCUAUGAAAAAUAACCAGAUCACAAACAACCAGAGG
Molecule: long non-coding RNA, 228 nt
Organism: Nanorana parkeri
Lineage: Eukaryota; Metazoa; Chordata; Amphibia; Anura; Dicroglossidae
Exons: 2
Source: RefSeq, a predicted model, not a curated record